This 308-nucleotide ribosomal RNA is filed under the name bacterium Fuku2-ISO-22. RNAcentral describes it as "bacterial SSU rRNA". It matches the Rfam family "Bacterial small subunit ribosomal RNA", at positions 430 to 755 of the family's 1533-position model. The record is from RNAcentral.
GCUCUUUUACCCGGGAUGAUAAUGACAGUACCGGGAGAAUAAGCUCCGGCUAACUCCGUGCCAGCAGCCGCGGUAAUACGGAGGGAGCUAGCGUUAUUCGGAAUUACUGGGCGUAAAGCGCACGUAGGCGGCUUUGUAAGUUAGAGGUGAAAGCCUGGAGCUCAACUCCAGAAUUGCCUUUAAGACUGCAUCGCUUGAAUCCAGGAGAGGUGAGUGGAAUUCCGAGUGUAGAGGUGAAAUUCGUAGAUAUUCGGAAGAACACCAGUGGCGAAGGCGGCUCACUGGACUGGUAUUGACGCUGAGGUGCG